AGUAGUGUGGGGUUGAAUAAUUUUGUUUGUAAUAUUUCAGAAGUUGGUAGAAAAAGAAAAUAAAAAUAGAAAAGAAAAAAAGUGAAUGAAUUUUUUUUGAAUGAAGUAUACAUGUCAAUACAUACUCCUUAUGAAAAGAAAAAAAAAAGAGAAAGGAGAAGAAAAAUAUGAAUGAAAACAGUUAUUAUAGAGUUGUUGAAGUGAAUGAAAUAUUUUAUAAAUUCAACUCCCGCGGUUUCUU
This 241-nucleotide long non-coding RNA is filed under the name Lathyrus oleraceus (garden pea). Its description in RNAcentral is "Pisum sativum (pea) long non-coding RNA (PSAT_LNC029765)". The record is from RNAcentral. Lineage: Eukaryota; Viridiplantae; Streptophyta; Magnoliopsida; Fabales; Fabaceae.